Molecule: ribosomal RNA, 294 nt
Filed under: uncultured Trebouxia photobiont
Lineage: Eukaryota; Viridiplantae; Chlorophyta; Trebouxiophyceae; Trebouxiales; Trebouxiaceae
Description: partial 18S ribosomal RNA
Rfam family: Eukaryotic small subunit ribosomal RNA
Source: RNAcentral
AGGCCCGGGUAAUCCUUGAAACUGCAUCGUGAUGGGAUAGAUUAUUGCAAAUAUUAAUCUUCAACGAGGAAUGCCUAGUAAGCGCGAGUCAUCAGCUCGCGUUGAUUACGUCCCUGCCCUUUGUACACACCGCCCGUCGCUCCUACCGAUUGGGUGUGCUGGUGAAGCGUUCGGAUUGGCGUUAGUGAGCGGUUUUCCGCCUCCUCUCGCUGAGAAGUUCGUCAAACCCUCCCACCUAGAGGAAGGAGAAGUCGUAACAAGGUUUCCGUAGGUGAACCUGCGGAAGGAUCAUUG